RNAcentral lists this ribosomal RNA (253 nucleotides) under uncultured bacterium. RNAcentral describes it as "partial 16S ribosomal RNA". It matches the Rfam family "Bacterial small subunit ribosomal RNA", at positions 524 to 776 of the family's 1533-position model. The record is from RNAcentral.
UACGGAGGGUGCAAGCAUUAAUCGGAUUUAUUGGGCGUAAAGGGCGCGUAGGCGGUAUGGCAAGUCAGAUGUGAAAUUCUAAAGCUUAACUUUAGAGCUGCAUCUGAAACUACUAUACUUGAGGAUAGACGGAGAAAAUGGAAUUCCACGUGUAGCGGUGAAAUGCGUAGAUAUGUGGAGGAACACCGGUGGCGAAAGCGAUUUUCUAGUUUAUACCUGACGCUGAGGCGCGAAAGCGAGGGGAUCAAACAGG